UUUGUAUUACGUUCGGAAAUUGUUACCAUUUUUGAGCCGAAAAUGGUAGCAAUUUCCGCACGUAAUACAAA
Molecule: microRNA precursor, 71 nt
Filed under: Paramuricea clavata
Lineage: Eukaryota; Metazoa; Cnidaria; Anthozoa; Malacalcyonacea; Plexauridae
Source: RNAcentral